Molecule: long non-coding RNA, 141 nt
Organism: Daphnia pulicaria
Lineage: Eukaryota; Metazoa; Arthropoda; Branchiopoda; Diplostraca; Daphniidae
Exons: 3
Source: RefSeq, a predicted model, not a curated record
AAGCGUCGCUCUUGAGUACCGUUGUUGAUGCUCAGCUGCCGGUACGUGAAGUUUCAAACUUGUCAAGGCGUAAAGAUAACUGAACGGAAUAGCCCAAUCAAAUAAUUCGUGACUGCUGUUGUAAGAAAACAGGACGAAAAG